UUUUAUUUUAUUAUUAUCAUUUUUUUGAGAUGGAGUCUCACUCUGUCACCCAGGCUGGAAUGCAGUGGCAUGAUCUCGGCCCACUGCAAGCUCCGUUUCCUGGGUUCAUGCCAUUCUCCUGCCUCAGCCUCCUGAGUACCGGGGACUGCAGGCGCUCACCACUACACCCGGCUAAUUUUUUGUAUUUUUAAUAGAGAUGGGGUUUCACCAUGUUAGCUGGGAUGGUCUCAAUCUCCUGACCUCGUGAUAUGCCCACUUCGGCCUCCCAAAGUGCUGGGAUUACAGGCAUAAGCCACCGCGCCCGACCCUACUUUUGGCAUUUCUUGCAGAGUUUUUCUGGUAUCGACAAAUACUCUCAGCAUUUGCUUGUCUGAGAAAGACUUUAUUUCUACUUCAUUUAUGAAACUUAGUUUUGCUGGAUACAAAAUUCUUAGCUGACUGUUAUUCUGCUUAAGGCAGCUAAAGAUCAGACCUCAAUCCCUUCUGGCUUGUAAAAUUUCUGCUGAGAAGUCGGCUGUUAGUCUGGUAGGUUUUCCUUUAUAGGUUACCUGAUGCUUUAGUCUCACUGCUCUUAGAAUUCUUUCCUUCAUGUUGACUUUAGAUAGACUUAUGACUCUAUGCCUUGGUGAUUUCCUUUUUGCAAUGAAUCUCCCAGGAGUUCUUUGAACUCUUUGUAUAUGGUUGUCUAAAUCUGUAGCAAGGCCAGGGAUGUUUUCCUCAAUUAUUCCCUCAAAUACAUUUUCCAAAUUUUUGCUCUUUGUUCACCCUCAUGAACACCAAUGAGUCUUAUAUUUGGCCAUUUUGCAUAAUCUCAUAUUCCUUGGAGACUUUGUUCAUUUCUUUUAAUUCUUUUUUUUAUGUUUUGGUUAAUCUUUGUCUCAUAGCUUGAUAUAAGGAUUGUAUAUAUUUACCAUGUACAACAUGAUAUUUUGAAAUAUGCAUAAAUUUUGGAAUGUUACAAUUGAGCUGAUUAACAUACAUAUUACCUCACAUACUCAUCAUUUUUGUGGUAAGAACACUUACAAUCUACACUUUUAGUGAUUUUCAAAAUACACUGUUGUUCACUGAAGUCACCACGUUUUAUAAUAGUUCUUUAAAUACAUGUAAUAACUGAAAUUUAAGCCAUGCAUGAGAUGGCCCGAGGAGAGAAUAAAGGUUAGCAAGGUUGACUACUACCAAAACUUCAGGAGAAAAAGCCCACAGAGGAGAAAAAGGAGGGAUCAGACAAGAGAGGGUGAAACUGGACAAGGAGAAAUCAACAGAAGAGAGGCACAGACAAAAUAAGUGUAUGUUUCUUAAAGGUCAGAUGUUUUGAAUCAGUAGUUCAAUCAAGGAUCAUGACAAAAUAAAAUGUUGGUUUUGGCAACACUGUUGAAUUUGGAAAGCCUCCAGGGUCGGGUGAGCAGGGAUGAGGUGAAGCAAUGAACAGUGAGUAUGGGCAGCUCUUUUGAGAGGUGGCUAUGAAGGACAAGAAGUCUGGAGCUGGAGGUGGGAGCGCUUUCAGGGGCCAGAAGGUCUCCUUUCCCCCCAGUAUUGAUAGACUUUUCUUAUUUUCCCACAUAUAUAACAAUGACUAGGUAUUUUUAACAUCAGAAUACACAAUUGUUUUCCAAAAGUUAUAAACGAUGAUACUAUACAAAGUAUCUACUCCUAUAUUAAAGAGGUUUGCGAAAUAAGAAAGAGGUAGACAAUAAAUAUGAAAUACUUUGCAAAUGCUGGCAGGACAAUUUAGGAGUGGUAGGCACAGGGAUAGAAUAAUAACACAACCUUUGCAAUUAUGCAGAAUGAAAUUAAAACUUGGUUUCUAUAUGUAACAACUCAAUAACUUUCUUCUCUCAUUUAAAAAAUAGGUAUAAUAUUGAGUAGGAACCUCAAAAAUACUCAGAAACUACAGGAUUUUAUUUAAUGUUUGCUCUGAAUGGGAGACAACACAAAACAUGAGUAGGGCCUCUCCUUGUGGACUCUCUAGAGGGAUAGAUCUAACCAAAGAGGCCUGAGUCCUAAGCCACGGUGCAGAGAUUCAGUAAGGUCCCAUGUCCCUUCUUGGGACCAUCUGAUGGACUUGGCUGUUAGCCCAGCCAACAGGGGGCCCAUGGGGCCUCAGUCCUAAGGGGGGUGAAUGCAAGACCUGGCAGUAAGGCUCUAUGGGACUCCACCCUCAGAGGUCUGGCUGGCUCCAGUCUAUUCAAAGUACUUAAGAGGGGCAUUCGAGGACACGACCAGGCCAUAGAAGUUUUUUCAACAUGAUUUCUAAACAAACACUUUAAUUACUUGGGGGAUAAGAGAGCUAUUGCCUUCAAACAGGAAGUGCUUGAAUACUCCACAUGAUUCCAGAGCUCAGAAUUAGGACCAAUAAAAAAUUAUGUCCAACUACUGGAAUAAUCGGUAAAUAGGAUGCACUGCAUAGCAAAGACCUCAAGCCUCUGUCACAUUAAAAGCCAAAGCAGAAACUGGAGGAUGGCCAGGCAGAGAAGGUAGAGAUCUGACCAAGUAUCCCAUAGACUAGUGAACUCUACUGCACUCUUUCCAGUUCUGAGAUUGCACCUGCAAGUCCACAGGCUGCAAGUAAACACAUGUCACACAAAAGGCAGGUGUGCAUUCUGAAACUUGGAAUCAGGAGAAAAAUCUCUGUAGCAGGCAGUUGUAAAUACUUAAAUAUUGGUCUACUUGCUCUUGAUGACAUUAUGAAGUGAAAUCAAUAUAAUAUGUGGGCGAUCUGUUCAUAGUUAGUGCAGUACACACUCCAGGGGUGGAUAAUAAGUCUCAUUUAAAUAUGAGAUCAGUGGCUUAGUCUGAGAGGAAAUACCCCCACUGACUAACCUCAAAGACACAGAGAGUCAUAAUACCUAUGCCUGCAGGGGGCUGCCAUUGCCAUUAUCAAAAGCCAGCCCAUACCUGCUGUUAAUUUCUGAGAAGUGAUGGCCAAAAGCAUCCCACAUCAUUUCAAUCUGGCCUGAAAUGUUGCCUGGAUAACUCUAAGUGCUUCUCACCUGGUUGUCCUUUUCCUCUGCUCACUUUCGCAGAGGAAGCCAGAUGACAUCAUUCCUCUGUGCACACCUUGCCAUGACUUUAUUUCCUGCAAUAAAAGCUGAAGAACUCACCUGUCCAUUGGGAUCUGGCCCUAGUCAUCCUUCUACCAAAUCACCUGCUACCCCAGCCCUUGCUCCCUUCAUCACAAGACCAAACUAGCCUUUGUUCCUCCCUCUUUGGGGUCUUUGAGUGCCUGUCUUCACUGCGAGCUGUCGUAAUCUGCACAUCCUCAGGGCCGAUUCCCUGUCUUCACUGCGAGCCAUCCUAAUCCGCACAUCCUCAGGGCUGAAUCCCUGUCUUCACUGCUAGUCAUCCUCAUCUGCACGUCCUCAGGCCGAAUCCCUGUCUUCACUGCCAGCCGUCCUCAUCGGCACAUCCUCAGGCCAAAUCCCUGUCUUCACUGCCAGCCGUCCUCAUCUGCACAUCCUCAGGGCGGAAUUCCUUUCCAGCUUGGCGCCUAUGCCCAGGAGGCCUCCUCACACUGAGGCACUGCCACCUGGCCCCUUGUCUAUGGGUUUGCUUUGCCAUAUCAAUCGUGCUCUUUUAUCAUUCUCUAUUACGAAUGUAAUUGUAUUGAAUAUUUCCUACCUCUCUCCAUUAGACUAAGAGCCUCAUGAAGAGAGAGAGAGAUCUCCGUCUGUUUUCUUCAUGAAUGUUUACCAAGCUCCUAGAACAAUGCCUGCACAUGGGGAGCACUCAAAAAGUGUUCUAGAAAUUAAUAUAUUGAUUAAUAAUUGGGAAAAAUCCUGUUUGAUGACCUACCAUGUUCCUACCACAAGACAAGGAAUUUUGUAUAUGAUGAAAGAUGAUAAUUACGUGGAUAAAAUUUAGUUUAUGUACAUAAGCCUCAAUCAAAAACAAUAAAAUGUGAUGGAAGCUACACAUUACAACUGUCUAUGAGCAUUCCAGGUUCUCUGGUCUUUGGACUCUGGGAGGAGCAUCAGCAGACCCCAGGUUCUCCAACCUUCAACCUCAGUCUGAGAGUUACACCAUUGGCUCCCUGGGUCUACAGCUUGAAAACGGCCUGUCAUGGAACUUCCCGCCUCCGUAAUCAUGUGAACCAAUUCUGUUAGUGAUUUCCCUUCCAUAUCAUCUAUAUCACCUGUCUUACCAUCUACAUCUUUAAUCUAUGUCUAUGUUAUCUAGAUAUCUAUAUCUACAUCUAUAUCUGUAUGUAUAUCUAUAUGUAUCUAUAGCUAUCAUCUAUAUAUAUCUACAUUAUCUGUAUAUAUCUACAUUAUCUGUAUCAUCUACAUGUAUAUCUAUAUCCAUGUCUACAUCUACAUCUAUAACUAUAUCUUUGUGGUUACCUCCCAAUGCUUCUGUCUCUAGAGAACCCUGAAAAAUACAUCAUAUGCAGGUAGUAAAACUGUGAAGAAAAUAGAGGAAAUAUUUUCUGUGAAAGUAAUAAGAAUUACUAUAUUUGUACUGAUGAAUAAAUUGAGAUUGGAGAAGGAAACAAGAGUCUUCUCAGGAGCUUAAACUAUUGUAUUUUACCAUGGAAGUAAACCUAUCAGCUGAUGAGAAGAUCAAAGAGAUGAGAAGAUCAAUAAGAAACAGAAGCAUUAAGCCACCUCUGAAACUAAUAAACUACCUAAAGUAGAACUGGAGGGUAAUGGCUAUUGGCAAGAACCAGGAACAUGUGAGACCUUGGGAAGCGGAAGCUGGACCACACAGAACACCUAUGUGGACUCACUCAUAUGUGGAAUAUAGGAUAUUUGCAUGUUCUUGUCAAUGAUGCCUUGAGCUGCUCCUUUGAAGUACUCACUACACUCAGAAUUAUACAUUCAAUGUAUAGCACCUGCUCCACUGUGAACUUAAUGAGGGCAUGACUGUGUCUCAUCCAGCACCCCAUCCUAGGCACAGUGCAUUAUCUGCCAGGGAGUUAGCACUUCUCUCUUCACUUAUAUUAAAUUUAUGUUCAGUAAAUCAAUCAGUGAUACAUAAUCUUACACGAGUUUAACGUCUGUAAACACUGCAAUACAAAUAUGUGCUUACAUAUAUUUUUAGGGAGGGCACCUUAAGUGUUUGGCCAUAACAACUUCAGAGAUUUUUCAGGUAGAACUUCUUCAAUAUUUAACAAAAAAAUGCAAAUAAUUUAGAUAUGCUCUAUAUUAUUUUAUGAGAGAGUCAGAUGUAGCCACAGGAGGAGAAACAAAAUAGACUGAGGGAAAAAACAAAGUUUGUUAUGCUCACAGGUCCUCGGAACAGCAGGAACAGCACCAUGCAGUUCCUCACAGGGAAGGCACAGGUGUGGUCAGCAGCUGAAAGACAGGAUGAGAAGGCUUAGGUCACAAACAGGUCACAAGUUGCACAAAGGGCUCCCGUGGACACUCCUGAUCCAGAACAGCAGAAGGCACCUUGGGCUGAGGGCACCUGCAAGGGAGGACUGUGUGUGUCUGCACCGGGAUCUACACUGCACUGGCACUGCAUAAGCCCCAGCACCUGAGAAACAACCAUCCUUCAAAGAAAGGACAAUUCCCCAAAUGAUGGAGCAUAGAUUUCCAUCACACAUGCAGCACAGGUGUUAAAACUGGAUUCUAGAAAAAUUCAUUUUUACUUUUCACACACUUAUAUCUGUGGGUAGAGAAACCACUCACAACAAAUGUUAAGAUACUCUUUCUGUCUUACUACAGACAUUUCCACCUGGUUCUUUCUCAAUUCUAAAAUUUUUAAUUAGUGCAUUUUGACAUAUGUCACUUUAUCUUCAUGUGGUAGGAAAAUUAUUUUCUUUUUGUUUUCUGACUUUGGCAUUGCCUAUGACAUGUUUUUGAGACACUAAGUGGUAUAGUAAUCUUACCCCUAAACAAUGUUAGGUGGAAAGGAAGGCUCAUUUUAGAGUGAGCCAUGUUGGAAGUGUUCCAUUUCAUUACAAUCUGUACCUUCAAGGGACUCUCAGUGAAACAGGAAAACAUGAAAACAAUAAGUUAAGGGCAAGAAUUUAUAUAUAAAUAAAUGGUAACUAGAGCUUCCUGAAGGUGCUUUGGGGCAGCCCAUAAGCAAUAUUUUCCAGGCCAUUGGGGUCUUCAGGGUUGUCUACCCACCCCUGCUGUCAGUCAAGGGUAAAAAUAAAUAACAAAACUGUUCAUCACACCUGAAAUCAAAUAUUUUCUCACAGGAAUGCCAAAUAUUUGAACAAUUAAAUCAAAUUGUGAAGAUAGUGGUCUAAGGUAAGGGUCAGCAAACUUUUUCUUAAAUGUCGCGAUAGUAAAGGGUUUUGACUUUGUGAUCAUGUAUGGCCUCUGUUAUAUACUCACAUGUAUGCCCACACACUUACAACUCUUUAAAAAUGUAAAAUCCAUUCUUAGCUCACGGGUCUACAAAUUAAGGUUGAUAGUUUGCUGACUCCUAGUCUAAGGUGUAGAGGAAAGUUUGCAACUCACGAAAAAUAUUGUUAACUUCCUAAGUCCCAUGGGCCUUGAUGCAUACAUCAGGAGCAGGUGCAGCUACACUGCCUCUCGGGUGGCAGUGGAUGCAGUUGAUGAGGAAUACUUGGUAGUGCUACAAUAAGAGUAUAAAGAAAAAGGGCUCGAUUAUUCCAGGUAAGGUAGGGAAAAGGAUCACGUGGAAAUUGAUGAGUUGGAAUGACAUAUUUUGAGUAUACUUUAUACAAUCUAAAACAAUCACAAAAAGUAUAGAGACAGGUAGAGUUAGCUAGAGAUAGAGAUGCAGAUAGUGGAGAUGAUUGCUCAGUGACAUUAAGGUGUACAGUGUGAAGUUGCUGUUGUCGCAACUGGUUUCAGCUUCCAUGGGCCUUUCAAAAUCUGUGCUUCUAACCAGUCUUAAGAAGUCUAAUACUUAAAGUGUUUUUUCAUACAAAAUCCCCUCAAGUAAACCUUCAGUUUGUAAGCAGCAAAAACAAUGGUCAAUUCUAAACUUGUAGGAAACCUUACUUUGCUGGACUUACUGAGGAGAAAGUAUGUUGUUAUCUAAAAUGGUACCUUCCUAAGAGAUUUUCAGAAAAAUGUUUGCCCUAUGUCAUCUUUUUCCAUAUGUAUUAAUUUUAGAAUUUAUAUAUCCAAAUAAAAUGUUUCAUCAUUGAUUGUAUACUGAUUCUGGAAGGGUAGAUAUUCAGCCACUGCAUAAUCAAAGCCAGGAAACAUGUUUAAAGUCAUCGACAGUUUGAAAGAAGACCUAGUUUGAAAGCAGAAAGAAGUGAUUAUGGAAUUACGCUUGUGAGGGGAUAGACCCAUCUCCUGGUAAGCGCUAGGUCUUUGGAGUAUAGUAUUAAUGCAUUUUUUAUAUUGUAUAUGUUCUAUAUGAAUAUACCUUAUAAGUGGUGUGAAGACCCCCAGCUCAGUGAUAACAUAUAAAUGACAUAAAUGAGCUGUCUUACCAUUUGAUAUAGCAAUUUUAUCAGCGUUUUAUCAAGUGGGAGGAGAGCUCAUUUAUUAGAGACUCUAUAAUCCAGACAACUAACUGAUACAGGUAACAGUGAAGUAAACAUUGAGACAUGUUUCCAGUCAUUCACUUACAUUGCAUUUACUGAGCUUCAAUUUUGGUCAGACUGAAGGUAUAUGAUGAGAUUCCAAGGAAAUCUUGGAUAUAAUUAAAACAAGUCUGAUGUAAUUUUUAAAAAUAUUAUGAUUUGUGGCUUUUUCCAAUGUAGGAAAUGACCUUUCCCUAAAUACUCUGUAGUGUGACUUCAAAAUUUCUAUUCCCUGAUUUCAAUACAAUACAAUAUGUAAACAAUAAAAUUUCUAUUUGAACCCUAACAUCUUAUUUAAAUGUUUAUGUGUAGAUCCAAAAUGUUACUGUAUGGGUUUCUACAUCUAUGAGACAGUUACUUACCCCAUUCUUGUCAUCCAGCAAUAGGUGUAACAGUAAAACUACUGCACAGAAUUAUUCACAGAUUAAAGAUGUACAGAUGGUGUAAAUAGUAUCUGGCCCACAGCAAACACUCAAGAAAUGUUGGCUAUUUAUGUUAGAUAUUUUAAUUUUAAAAUUCCAUAUCUUGAUAAAAGCUAGGGCAGGGUAGAGUAAGAAUUAUUUUAUAGCUAUGAAAAUAUCUCUUUAUUCAGAUCAGCUCUUUUCAGAGCAUUAAAAAAUACUGAAGAAGAGAAAUAAUAUAAUUUAGCAGUGACAUUAUAUUUUCGAAGCUGCUAUAAUUGUACAUAUGCUCUCCAUUUCCUUACCAUUCUAUGAACAGUAAGAAACAGUUUCUAAUGUAUAAAAUUACUUGUUCUAAAACAUACUUAACCUUUAAAAUAUAUCUCUUAGAUAACUGAUAAUUCCUGCUUUGUUGCUGAAAACUCACUACUCUUAA
This 8296-nucleotide long non-coding RNA is filed under the name Homo sapiens (human). RNAcentral's name for it is "HSALNT0122845". Lineage: Eukaryota; Metazoa; Chordata; Mammalia; Primates; Hominidae. The record is from RNAcentral.